AUAAUGCAGCAGGGCCACCAGUCAGUUUCAGAUAAUGAUGUCAACCCCGGCCACCAAGAAGUAACCUUGUCUCCACUAGACAGAGCAGGUUGCAGGAAUUUAGCCAAUUCAGAGGUCUUGUUCUCCAUAAUUUGGAAUUUUCCUUCGGAUUUGAUCAAGUUGGAUAGAGUUGGUCAAACCCAAUGGGAAAAAGAUGAAAACAACAAGAAACAGAAACAAACAGCAACAACAACAACAACAAAAACAAUGCAUUUAAUUAAAUGAAGAUGAGCUCAUGCUGGAGUAGGGUGGACUCUGAACCCAGUGGGACAAGCGUCCUUAUUAAGAAGAGGGAAAUCUGGACACACACAGAGCAGAGACCGCCGUGUGAAGAUGGAGGCAGAGAUCGGAGAGAUGCUGCCACACGCCACAAAUGCCUGGGGCUCCCAGAAACUACACGGAGCCUCCCCCAGCGGCUUCAGCAGGAGCAUGGCUCGGCCAACACUUUGAUCUUGGUCUUCCAGCCUCCAGAACGUUUUCCUAAAAUUCCCUUUUCCACUGGUGUGUGGUGCAAGAUGAGGCACAUUUUCCAUGGAUGGUGAACAGAGGGAGGAGCCUUUUGAUCACAACCAGGUCACCCCACUUCUAAGCCACUGUGCCUCCAGCCCCACAAGACUAAGGAGAGAGAGCGCAGCGUGGUGGAGAGUGAGCUGUGCUGGGACCAUUGUUUCCGUAACCUCGUUUUCUGUGUCCAGCUGACACACCUUCAAAGUGGCAUCAGGUCCUAAACUGUAGCUUGCAAUGUGCCUGUUUCCAGAAACCAAGGUGAAAGUGCUUUUAGACAGUGUUCCCAUGCAAGAGUCCCUUCCCAGCUUUUUUCUGGAAAUGCAUGUUUCUCUGAACUCUGAGUCCCAAGAAAAAUCACUUGAGACACCAAGAAAAUGGGGGAAGUGCUAAAAUUGUGUGGGAAUUCAAGCUUAACAAUAAACAUCAAGACAUUUUUGAUAAAAAUGAAUCCACUGACAUCGGGGAGGAGCAAGAGAACAGCACGCUGACACUGGGUCAGAGGCUAAGACCGACAUUUCUGGGAACCACUCCCGGAAGGGCACAGAGGAGACGCUUUCAGCCUCUCAUCAGCCAGCCUGGCCUGUAGCUGCUGCACGUUAUGAGUGUGUUCCUGGCAUGACUGCUUCUAACAACUGGGUCUCGCUUGUUGCCCAGGCUGUAGUGCACUGGUGCAAUCAUGGCUCACUGCAGCCUUGACCUCCUGGAUCAAGGUAUCCUCCCACCUCUCAGCCUCCCAAGCAGCUGGGACUAUGGGUGCAUGCCACCACACCCAGCUAAUUUUUGUAUUUAUGGAGAUAUGGGUCUCACCAUGUUACCCAGGCUGGUCUUGAACUUCUGGGCUCAAGCCUUCUGCCUGCCCUGGCCUUCCAAAGCAUUGGAAUUACAGGCCUGAGCCACUGUGCUAGGCCAGAGCCAACAGGACUUACUGAGAAAUUAUCUGAGAGAGAGGGGUCAAGGAAGACUCCCCCUGUUCAACCAAGCAACGAGGUGAAUGGUGCUGCUGCUUCCUGAGAUGGGGAAGACUGUAGAGGAAACAAACCAGGAACGACAAAUCAGUAAUUUAGCUUUGAAUACAUUAGGUUUGAGAUGGCUAGUCUGUACCCAAACAGACCACACUGUGGCAUCUGGGCAGCAGGAUCUGCAGAAUCCAGCAGGAUGGAUGCUGAUGCCAAGCUGAGUAGACAGUUGGGUCUGUGAGUCUAAAGCUCAGGGAAGACCUCAGGGUCUGGGAUACAAAUCUGGAGAUCAUCACCCUGUCCAUGAAAGCCAAGGGAAUGAUGGAAGAUACUAUGAGAAAAAGUGAAGAGAGGAAAGAGAAGAGGUCCAUGGAAGGAGACCUGGGAGAAUCCAACCUUCGAUUAGAUCAGGAAGAGGAGAAGAAUCCAGUAAAAAACUCUGAGAAGUCUCUGGGAAGGAAGUCUUCCUUCCUUCCCCUGUACCAGGAGAGGUGCUAUCCCAGAAAUUAGUAAAGAAACAGUUUUUGAUGGGGAGAACAGGAUCACCUUUGUCAACUGCUGCUGCGAGACUUGGAAAAAUAAGGACUGGGAAGAGAGCAAUAGAAACUUUGAAAGCCAUUGGUUAUCUUGAUAAGAGUUGUUUCUGUGGGGGUGGUGAGAACUGGAGCCUGACUGGAUGGGUUCAAGAGAGAAUGGGGAGUUCUAGCCAAGAAGGCUGAUGAGGAUGAGUCAAAUUAAAAAUGUUUUCUUUUUAUGAGUCCUCUCAUAUUUACUGAUACAACUGAUAUAUUGGGUCUCCAUUCUGCCACAUUACUUUAUAUUGAUCAUGUAUUGUAUCUGCUAUGCAAUUGUAUUGCAUGUAUCUGCAUGGCAAUUGUAUUGCCAUGCAAUGUAUUUUUUUUUACUUUAAAAAUUAUAUUUAUAAAGGUUUGUAA
Molecule: long non-coding RNA, 2437 nt
Filed under: Homo sapiens (human)
Lineage: Eukaryota; Metazoa; Chordata; Mammalia; Primates; Hominidae
Description: GARS1 divergent transcript
Source: RNAcentral